CCUUCAUGAAGCCGGAAUUGCUAGUAAUGGCAGGUCAGCAUACUGCCGUGAAUACGUUCCCGGGCCUUGUACACACCGCCCGUCACACCAUGAGAGUUGGAGAUACCCGAAGCCUGUGAGCUAACAAACGAGGCAGCAGUCGAAGGUAGAAUCAAUGAUUGGGGUGAAGUCGUAACAAGGUACC
Molecule: ribosomal RNA, 184 nt
Filed under: uncultured bacterium
Lineage: Bacteria
Description: partial 16S ribosomal RNA
Rfam family: Bacterial small subunit ribosomal RNA
Source: RNAcentral